AUUGAACGCUGGCGGCAGGCCUAACACAUGCAAGUCGAACGAGUGGCGGACGGGUGAGUAAUGUCUGGGAAACUGCCUGAUGGAGGGGGAUAACUACUGGAAACGGUAGCUAAUACCCCAUACCAUCAGAUGUGCCCCGAUGGGAUUAGCUCGGUGGUGGGGGAACGGCUCACCGAGGCGACGAUCCCUAGCUGGUCUGAGAGGAUGACCAGCCACACGGGAACUUAGACACGGUCCAGACGCCUACGGGAGGCAGCAGUGGGGAACAUUGCACAAUGGGCGCAAGCCUGAUGCAGCCAGGCCGCGUGUAUGAAGAAGGCCUUCGGGUUGUAAAGUACUUUCAGCGGGGAGGCGUUACUCGCAGAAGAAGCACCGGCUAACUCCGUGCCAGCCGCCGCGGUAAUUC
RNAcentral lists this ribosomal RNA (406 nucleotides) under uncultured bacterium. RNAcentral describes it as "partial 16S ribosomal RNA". It matches the Rfam family "Bacterial small subunit ribosomal RNA", at positions 30 to 526 of the family's 1533-position model. The record is from RNAcentral.